GGAGACAGGUGCUGCAUGGCUGUCGUCAGCUCGUGUCGUGAGAUGUAGGGUUAAGUCCCGCAACGAGCGCAACCCUUGUCUUUAAUUGCCAUCAUUGAGUUGGGCACUUUAAAGAGACUGCCGGUGUUAAACCGGAGGAAGGUGGGGAUGACGUCAAGUCCUCAUGGCCUUUAUGACCAGGGCUACACACGUACUACAAUGGCCGGUACAAAGGGCAGCGACACAGCGAUGUGAAGCGAAUCCCGAAAAGCCGGUCUCAGUCCGGAUUGGAGUCUGCAACUCGACUCCAUGAAGUUGGAAUCGCUAGUAAUCGCGGAUCAGCACGCCGCGGUGAAUACGUUCCCGGGCCUU
Molecule: ribosomal RNA, 351 nt
Filed under: uncultured Desulfocapsa sp.
Lineage: Bacteria; Pseudomonadati; Thermodesulfobacteriota; Desulfobulbia; Desulfobulbales; Desulfocapsaceae
Description: bacterial SSU rRNA
Rfam family: Bacterial small subunit ribosomal RNA
Source: RNAcentral